CGCUCAAAGGAUAAAAGGUACUCUGGGGAUAACAGGCUGAUACCGCCCAAGAGUUCACAUCGACGGCGGUGUUUGGCACCUCGAUGUCGGCUCAUCUCAUCCUGGGGCUGGAGCAGGUCCCAAGGGUACGGCUGUUCGCCGUUUAAAGCGGUACGUGAGCUGGGUUUAGAACGUCGUGAGACAGUUCGGUCCCUAUCUACCGUGGGCGUUGGAAAUUUGAGAGGAUCUGCUCCUAGUACGAGAGGACCAGAGUGGA
RNAcentral lists this ribosomal RNA (256 nucleotides) under Heterosigma akashiwo. Its description in RNAcentral is "partial Bacterial large subunit ribosomal RNA". It matches the Rfam family "Bacterial large subunit ribosomal RNA", at positions 2446 to 2701 of the family's 2925-position model. The record is from RNAcentral. Lineage: Eukaryota; Raphidophyceae; Chattonellales; Chattonellaceae.